CUGGCGGUCUGCUUACACAUGCAAGUCGAACGGAAUCCUUCGGGAUUUAGUGGCGGACGGGUGAGUAACACGUAAGAACCUGCCUCUAGGACGGGGACAACAGUUGGAAACGACUGCUAAACCCGGAUGAGCCGAAAGGUAAAAGAUUAAUCGCCUAGAGAGGGGCUUGCGUCUGAUUAGCUAGUUGGUGAGGUAAGAGCCCACCAAGGCGACGAUCAGUAGCUGGUCUGAGAGGAUGAUCAGCCACACUGGGACUGAGACACGGCCCAGACUCCUACGGGAGGCAGCAGUGGGGAAUUUUCCGCAAUGGGCGAAAGCCUGACGGAGCAAGACCGCGUGGGGGAGGAAGGUUCUUGGAUUGUCAACCCCUUUUCUCAGGGAAGAACACAAUGACGGUACCUGAGGAAAAAGCAUCGGCUAACUCCGUGCCAGCAGCCGCGGUAAUACGGGGGAUGCAAGCGUUAUCCGGAAUGAUUGGGCGUAAAGAGUCCGUAGGUAGUCAUCCAAGUCUGCUGUUAAAGAGCGAGGCUUAACCUCGUAAAGGCAGUGGAAACUGGAAGACUAGAGUGUAGUAGGGGCAGAGGGAAUUCCUGGUGUAGCGGUGAAAUGCGUAGAGAUCAGGAAGAACACCGGUGGCGAAGGCGCUCUGCUGGGCUAUAACUGACACUGAGGGACGAAAGCUAGGGGAGCGAAUGGGAUUAGAUACCCCAGUAGUCCUAGCGGUAAACGAUGGAAACUAGGUGUGGCCUGUAUCGACCCGGGCCGUGCCGAAGCAACGCGUUAAG
Molecule: ribosomal RNA, 785 nt
Filed under: uncultured cyanobacterium
Lineage: Bacteria; Bacillati; Cyanobacteriota
Description: bacterial SSU rRNA
Rfam family: Bacterial small subunit ribosomal RNA
Source: RNAcentral